RNAcentral lists this ribosomal RNA (292 nucleotides) under uncultured Verrucomicrobiota bacterium. RNAcentral describes it as "uncultured Verrucomicrobia bacterium partial 16S ribosomal RNA". The record is from RNAcentral. Lineage: Bacteria; Pseudomonadati; Verrucomicrobiota.
GGACUACACGGGUAUCUAAUCCCGUUUGCUCCCCUGGCUUUCGUGCCUCAGCGUCAGGAAAUGUCUAGAGACUCGCCUUCGCCACUGGUGUUCCACUUGAUAUCUACGCAUUUCACUGCUACACCAAGUAUUCCAGUCUCCCCUCCAUUCCUCGAGCCAGGUAGUUUCCAACGCAGUUUCCGGGUUGAGCCCGGAGAUUUCACGUCAGACUUACCCGACCGCCUACGCACCCUUUACGCCCAGUGAAUCCGAACAACGCUUGGGACCUCUGUAUUACCGCGGCGGCUGGCAC